AUGCAAGGCUGGUCAGAAAGACUCUUUGUGUGUGCUGGGCGGGAAACUUUGCUAAAAUCCAUCAUUCAGGCUAUCCCAACAUUCAGUAUGAGUGUCUUUCUGUUAACCAAAAAGGUAUGCAAGAGUUUGACGUUUUGCAUGGCCAAGUAUUGGUGGAGUAGUUCAAUUGAUAAGUGGUCUAUGCAUUGGAUUUCUUGGAAGGAACUGACAACACCAAAAUGUAAGGGUGGCAUGGGUUUUCGAGAUCUCCACCUUUUCAACAUAGCACUAUUGGGUAAACAAGUAUGGCGCUUGAUUAUGAAUCCGGAUACUCUAUGUGCGAGAGUACUUAAGGGAAGGUACUUCCCCGACACAGACUUCAUGCACGCUUCAACUCCAGGUUCAUCCUCCGCCACCUGGAGGGCCAUCAUAGCGGGCAGGGAGGCCUUGAUCACGGAGCUCAUCAAACGUGUGGGAGACGGCACGACAAUCUCAAUAUGGGAUGACCGGUGGAUACCAUCUACACACACUAUGACUCCACUGUUUCGUCCACCCGCAACAAACGUCGCAUUGGUAAGCGACCUAAUUGACACGGACAACUGGACUUGGCAGCGGGAGCUUAUCCGUGAAAACUUCAUCACUCCGGAUGCAGAAGCAAUCUUGAACAUUCCACUACGCGCAGGAGGAGGGGAUGAUUUCUUGGCAUGGGCACAUGAAAUAUCAGGCAACUACACCGUUAAGUCGGUGUACCGAGCUCUAGUUACUCGUAACGAGCUUCAGGCUCUAGAGGAAGGGCAGGCUACCGGACCUUCAACAGAUAAACAACGGAUGUGGAAUGACCUCUAG
RNAcentral lists this ribosomal RNA (825 nucleotides) under Triticum aestivum (bread wheat). Its description in RNAcentral is "partial small subunit ribosomal RNA". Lineage: Eukaryota; Viridiplantae; Streptophyta; Magnoliopsida; Poales; Poaceae. The record is from RNAcentral.